UAAUUGCCUAAGUCAUUUUUCAGUGAUUUCCAUUUUUGUUAAGUUGUCUUAGAUAUUCAGGGUUUGAGUGUUCUAGAAUUGCCUUUUUAUUUCUGCCUAAAUCUUAAGCCAAAUGAGAUGAUGACGUUCUCUUCUUGAAAAAUAGAAAAUAACGACUUGGGCGGUUUCUUUACGAAGGUGGCGAGAUUGUAAUAGGUUUUGCACCCUCUAUUUAGGGAUGUGCACUAAUUUUUGUCUCUUCUCUUCCCCUCCUCCUCCCCUGGCUGGCCGGGGAACGGAGGAGGAGCACUAGGACGAGGAGGUGAAGGGAGGCGGAGGGAGAGACGACUCGAGCACAGGGAGGCAAGAGACAAGAAGCAGAGACGCAGGAACAGAAAGGCAGCCAGAUGGUCGAUGCUGUGAAGAGGAGGAAGAUGACUGCAGGAGGCGGUGUGUGUGUGUUGGGGAAGGAGACGACGGCACCAACCUCACACACAGCGGGUUAAGGCCUGCAAGAGAGCCUAGUCAAUGAAGAGGAAAAGAAGACAAGAAUAAAGAAUAAAGAAGACAAGAAGAAAGAAGGAAGAAGAGGCAAAAGAGGAGGAGGGGAUUUUUUUUCUGUCUAUACCUGAAGUGUCAUGAAUUUACUAAGGGUGUAUUUAAGUCUGAUAUAACGCGGUGCAUUUAAAUAAGGUAUAUUUAACGGUACCAGUGUGUAGCCUACUUUUGCCUGGAGUUGGAGACGGUAAAAUGCUCUCCGACUCCUUUAUUGUGGUGCUGUGUGGUUUGUUUACUGUGGUGCGAUGUGGGUCAUUUACUGUGGUGCGGUGUGGUUCGUUAAUUAAGGUGAGGUAUGGUUCGUUUAUUGUAGUGCGGUAUGGUUCGUUUACUGUGGUGCGGUGUGGCUCGUUAAUUAAGGUGAGGUGUGGUUCAUUUAUUGUGGUGCGGUGUGGUUCGUUAAUUAAGGUCAGGUAUGGUUCGUUUAUUGUAGUGCGGUAUGGUUCGUUUACUGUGGUGCGGUGCGGCUCGUUAAUUAAGGUGAGGUGUGGUUCAUUUAUUGUGGUGCGAUGUGGCGUUGCGGGCUUUACUUUCCCUACCACUGCACCAGACAAGGGUAAGGGGGAGGGGGUGGAGUCAAAUUUUUUUAUAUCCGCCUCCACACCUGUGUUAGAGUGUAAGAGUAUUGAUGGAAUAUAUUUAGGUGCUGGGUGAUACUGUGGUGCUCUCGUCGCGGCAACCCAUUCUGCUUCUGCAUAAUAACCCAUACUGCUGCAUGACGCAUAGCAACCUGUGUUUUUUUCCGCUGUUGCAACGACCCGUUCUGCUGCGUGACGCAUAGCAACUCGGCAGUCACUAGAGAUAAAAUUCGCCUGUGCCACUUCUGCUGUCGCAUAAACCCGCCGCGUUGCCAACUUGGCAACAACCCAACUAAUGAAUUUUCUGAUCAAAGAUCAAAGAGAGGAUUAGGCCUUCAGGGGACACCUCUUAAAUAAAAACGCGCCUGGGACUUUUACCUCAGAGGUGGUGUGGAAAAUAAGUCCAAUCACGAAAAUAAGUAUCUUAUACUCCAUGAAAGUGUCUCAGUCUUAUGAGAACACAAAGGUUGAGAGGGCUCAAACAUUCUGUUGUUUCCCGCAUAUGCUCCCAUGUUAGCAGUAAGGGUACUAAUUUCUGAUCUCUGUACAAAACAACCAAAUAAUAAGGAAAAGAAAGUUGAAUAAAAUGUUUGCCUGCACUCUCCGUCAGCAGCGUAGACGUAACAAGGGUUGAAAAAAUGAGUUAUUUAUUACAGCCGCUGGCCAACGCCUUGACCCCAGAGGCUUUGUGUUUGUCUCCGCGUCCUCCGCACUACACUGCACAGAAUCUGGCGAGCCUGGGUUGUGACAGCUAUUUCCCAAAGCCUCCAAGGAUACCAGUCAGGCUUAUGAGUGUUUUUUGUGUUGUUGGGGAAGCCUUGUCUAGGCUCGCGAAUCUACACCUGGAAAUACUACUACCAACACAACCCAUAUGAAAGCCUUUCCUAAAACAUAAAACCUCUAUCAUUGCCUUACCAGACGGAACCAAAGCUUACCAAAUACCCAAAAAUCUCUACUAUUUGUGGUUUUAACUCAUGGUAUUGAAUUUUCACUUAUUUUUUAUACUGAUGUUAGUGUCCCUUAUAUGUCUUGUUGGGUCUAUUAUUUGUUCUAUAUAUAAGGUAUUGAAUUUGCACUUAUUUUUUUUUAUUUUUUUUUUUUUUUUUUUUUUUGCCUAUUGCGCCGGUAGGCAUCUUCCCGGUGGGGCCUGAUGGUCGGCCCAAGGCUUCUUCCAGGUGGGGCCUGAUGGUCGGCCCAGCCCGUUCUGGCGCAGGCGAGUGUUUAUAGUGGCGCCAUCUUGCAUUGGCUCAUGCUGCCCCCCGGAACUCGUACUUGAUUCGCUUGGACGGCUUCCUCUAGAGUCCGGGUUGAUGGGUGGUCUUCAGGACAGCAUGUGGGUAGUUUUAAGCCACUCGGCGGUGACCGAAAAAUCCGAGUGGUAGCGUGAGGAUUCGAACCCGCGUCGUCCAUCACGCGGCAAAUGUGGGUCCAGUACGCUAUCACUUCGGCCACCGCCUACCCAUAUGUUGUGUCAUUGAGGGAGUGUUUGGGUCUAUCAUUUUUUUGUUUUGGAUGCCCCUUUAUGGAUCUAAAUAAUGACAUCCACCUUAAAAUAAAUGUAUGUGUCUGUGGUCAUCCCAAAGCUGAAGGUUGGCAUCUACUCCACUGGUUUUCAUAUGUUUUCUCGGACAGUUCAGAUUAUUAGCAAAUGUUUUUACCCGUCCGCUGUGAUUGGCACGGAUUUCGCCUUCACUGGUAGCCUGGUAACAUGUACUCCCAGAUCAUUCUUUGUCUCUGUGGUGGAUAGUGGAGUGCUUCCCAUGUGGUAUUGGUGUGCUGGAUAUCCCUUCACUGGUAGCCUGGUAACAUAUGUACUCCCAGAUCAUUCUUUGUCUCUGUGGUGGAUAGUGGAGUGCUUCCCAUGUGGUACUGGUGUGCUGGAUAUCCCCUCCCAAGGUGCAGGACUAUAUAUUUUUCUUCAUUGAA
Eriocheir sinensis (Chinese mitten crab) is the source of this 3041-nucleotide long non-coding RNA. RefSeq lists it as uncharacterized. NCBI's taxonomy places the organism in Eukaryota, Metazoa, Arthropoda, Malacostraca, Decapoda, Varunidae. The record is from RefSeq and is a predicted model, not a curated record. The transcript has 3 exons.